UUUCCUGGUUGUAAUUCCAGUUCCGUGGCCUUCUAGAAUAUCAGAUUCUGAGCCCUCCACUAAUUUUGAGGGUCAGCUACUGUAAUAAUGAAGGUGUUGACCGAAUUGAAGAGGUACUGGGGAUCAAGAAGGCUUGGUAACAGGGAAUGGAAGAGAUUCUGAUCCAGAAGAGUAAUUUUUCCUGUUGCUUCUUGAAGAAUGCAAUUAUCAUCAAGGUUCCAAGUGCCAUCAAUUGAGGAUGAGAAAUAGAAAGAAAAUACAUGGCAUAUAGUAUGUGACAUAAAUAGUUUACCUCAGAAUUAAAAGAAGGAAGAAGGAAAGAAGAAAGAAAACAAAGGGGAGAGAAAGGAAGACAUCUAUAUUUGAUUUAGAGCAUCAUUACCCUUCAUAAAGAAGCUGCAUAUGUACCAUUUCAUACAUAUAAUAGGAAUAAAUUAUCCAUUGGACUAAAUGGAAUAAGAUCCCUUCCAAAUAAGCUCCUAUUUCAUACAAGUUGAUCUGCAGAAGAAACAGACAACACCAAGGAUAAACAUAGCAACAG
This 541-nucleotide long non-coding RNA is filed under the name Monodelphis domestica (gray short-tailed opossum). RNAcentral's name for it is "lncRNA (ENSMODG00000051325.1)". Lineage: Eukaryota; Metazoa; Chordata; Mammalia; Didelphimorphia; Didelphidae. The record is from RNAcentral.